GAAGGAACUGGUGUAUAGGGACCUCAUGACUCCUGGAGAGAUACUUGGUGGCAAAUGUCACAGGCUGUGUAGGGUAACAGAUUGGGAGGCUUUUGGGAAGAUGGGGAAUGCAUUACAAGGAGAGGGCUAUCCCAGGACUUUUUACAAGGGAAUGGUAUGGGGCGGGUGUCCUUGGACUUGCAUGUGAAUGUGUGUGUGUGAUUGUUAACUCGAGGUGUGCAACCCCGACUCUGCAGCUCAUUCUGUGGCUUCAGCUCCAGCCCCGUGGUGCUGGCAGGCCCGUUGGCAUUGCCUUACUAGUGUUCUCCCAUCUGCUUCUCGGAUCAUGUCUCUGUAGUCUUAAGAACAAGCAAUCUUGUACAGCUGUCUAUGUUCCUGCAAAUGCACCUGCCUUUAAGAUGAUCUAGUCUGUAAAGUUCGAAUUAUUUUUAAAAAUUUUAAGUAGGUUUUUUUU
Molecule: long non-coding RNA, 454 nt
Filed under: Rattus norvegicus (Norway rat)
Lineage: Eukaryota; Metazoa; Chordata; Mammalia; Rodentia; Muridae
Description: long non-coding RNA NONRATT005656
Source: RNAcentral